AGCAGCCGCGGUAAUUCCAGCUCCAAUAGCGUAUAUUAAAGUUGUUGCAGUUAAAAAGCUCGUAGUUGAAUUUCGGGAUCAAUACGUCGGUCGUGCUUCGGUACGUACUGGCGUAAUUGAUUUCUCCCUUCUGACGAACCAUGAUGUCAUUAACUUGGUGUCAUGGGAAAUCAGGACUGUUACUUUGAAAAAAUUAGAGUGUUAAAGCAGGCUCACGCUUGAAUACAUUAGCAUGGAAUAAUGAAAUAGGACGUUCGAUCCUAUUUUGUUGGUUUUUAGGAUCAACGUAAUGAUUAAUAGGGAUAGUUGGGGGCAUUAGUAUUCAAUUGUCAGAGGUGAAAUUCUUGGAUUUAUUGAAGACUAACUACUGCGAAAGCAUUUGCCAAGGAUGUUUUCAUUAAUCAAGAACGAAAGUUAGGGGAUCGAAGACGAUCAGAUACCGUCGUAGUCUUAACCAUAAACUAUGCCGACUAGGGAUCGGAUGAUGUUAAUUUUUUAAUGACUCAUUCGGCGCCUUACG
RNAcentral lists this ribosomal RNA (520 nucleotides) under uncultured Glomus. RNAcentral's name for it is "SSU rRNA". It matches the Rfam family "Eukaryotic small subunit ribosomal RNA", at positions 569 to 1092 of the family's 1831-position model. The record is from RNAcentral. Lineage: Eukaryota; Fungi; Glomeromycota; Glomeromycetes; Glomerales; Glomeraceae.